AUGGAAGACUUGAUCUACUUCGUCAACAAGCUGCAGCUUGUCCGCAGCAUUCUCGCCGACGACGGCGUGGGGAGCGCCCUCCCCAUCGACUCCGACGAGGUGCCUUACAUCGCCGUCGUGGGAGGCCAGGGUGUAGGGAAAUCUUCAUUAAUAGAGGCUAUUGUCGGAAAAGACUUUUUACCCAAAGGAAUUGCCACCCGUCGGCCGUUGGUUGUACAACUUUUUAGAACAGAAGAAGCCGUUGAGUAUGCAAGGUUUUCGCAUCAACCUGAGAGAAGAUUUGAAGACUUUGCUGAAGUUGCUCAAGAGAUAGCUGAUGAAACUGACCGAGAAACUCAGUCUCCCUUUGGAGUAUCAUCUAUCCCCAUCCAUUUAAGCAUAUUUUCACCAAGUGUUAUCAACCUCACUCUUGUCGAUCUACCUGGGCUUGUUACUAAAAUUGCUGAUGACCACCGGUCCGACAACACAGUUCAGGAAAUUCAGAAUAUGGUUGGAGCAUUCAUUGGGAAGCCCAAUUGCAUCAUUUUGGCUGUAUCUCCAGCAAACCAGGACCUUUCAAUUUCAGUAGCUGUCAAUACUUCACAGGAAAUCGACCCAAAUGGUAAAAGAACCUUUGACGUGCUUACAAAAGUGGACCUGAUGGAGAACCGAGCAACUGUUGUUAAUAUACUAGAGGGAAGGUUUUGCCCAUCGCGCUUUCCAUGGGUUGGUGUUGUCAACCGAUCACAGGAAGACAUCAAUAUCAACCUGGACAUCAUUGCUGCUCGGCGUAGAGAGCGUGACUAUUUUGGUAGGAUACCAGAAUACAAGCAUCUCGCACACAGAAUGGGGUCAGAACAUUUGGUCAGAAGUUUGGCCAAGUAUCUGGAGUCUUAUGUUAAAACAAGAAUCGGUGGUUAUUUGCUCAGUAACAAUUUCAUCAAAUCUGCAGUGACAAAGAAGAACAGGCUGCAGGGCUAUUCACUUAGAGCAUAUGGGACAUUUCCGUCGUAUCACCUGUGUACGGAAGGUGAACAAAAUGAGAUGACCUUUCAGUGCACAGUUGAUGUUCAUGGCCAAAAGUUCGCCUCAGCAAUGCAUCACCGCCAUCUCAAAGACGCGGAGGAGGAUGCUGCCGAUGUGGCCUACACAUCGUUAAUGGGAAAUGAAACAAUGGAGACUCUAUUUGAGCUGCUCAACAAGGAUACUAUGUGCAAGGUUACCCUUCUGCUUGGGUACGUGCACAAGAAGAAAGUUCCAGAUCCAGUUUAUGCAUCCUCCAGGGUGUCAGUAGAGCCCCAUAGGACAUUCUGGCUUUCCACAGUCACGUUGGAUGAUAACACCUACAUUGGGGAGUUUGCAAAUACCAGGCGCAAGUCCAUCCAGAAUGCUGCUUUCUCAGCUGUUUCCUCCAUGCUUGAGUCUGGGAAUGACCUGAUGAUCGAGUGUCUUAUCUCCAAGAGGAUGAGGACUGAGGUGCCUAGGCGGAAGAGAUGCCGAAAUGCGUAG
This 1488-nucleotide ribosomal RNA is filed under the name Triticum aestivum (bread wheat). RNAcentral describes it as "partial small subunit ribosomal RNA". Lineage: Eukaryota; Viridiplantae; Streptophyta; Magnoliopsida; Poales; Poaceae. The record is from RNAcentral.